This is a long non-coding RNA of Rhinolophus ferrumequinum (greater horseshoe bat), 706 nucleotides long. RefSeq lists it as uncharacterized. The record is from RefSeq and is a predicted model, not a curated record. NCBI's taxonomy places the organism in Eukaryota, Metazoa, Chordata, Mammalia, Chiroptera, Rhinolophidae. The transcript has 3 exons.
GAUACUGAUGAACAUUAAUAACUCCUGUCAUACAAUGGUACUCUGUGACUCUGAGUGUUGUGAAAGAAGGGAGGAGAUGGCAGACAAAAGGUCAAAGAAAAGAAAAGAGAAUGACCAGAAAACAACAACAAAAAAGACACAGCUAAUGAAGAGGAGAAAGAAAAAUCUCAUCUGUGAUGACGGGGAGGCAGCUGCUGCUCGAGGGAGCAGUGCCCUUGCUCCGGUGUGGGACUCUGAAACAACCUUCUUCAAUUUGUAAAGAAGCCCCCUGUGAACCAUCCCAGCACCUCAUGAAGAUAAACUCCAGCAACACCCCAGAGAGACACUGAGUGGCAACUGGACACCCAAAGGGCUACAGAAGGUGCUGGGUUACCUGUAAUCCAGGGAAACAAAUGGAGUACCGUAUGCAUCUGGAGAGAGCUGUGGAAAUAGGGGUGAGGCUACCUCUUUUACACUAAAAAUGCACAAAAAUGAGACCGAUGGUUGUUUACACAGACUGUCUAUGUAUGAGGGAGACUGGAGCCCAGUAAUGGAAAGGAAGAGUUGAAAUUCAGCUUGACUGUCCUCCAGUAGCUACUUACUUGCUCCCAGAAGUUGGUAACUAACUGAAACUCUCUAGUCUUGUUUUUUUCAUUUGCGAUAUGAGCUCUUUGAAUCUCUUUUAGUAAAUCUUUGAUUUUAUAGUUUAGGAGGCUAGUACACUUCU